GGCCCAUCUCGAUACCCUGUGGA
Molecule: non-coding RNA, 23 nt
Filed under: Cricetulus griseus (Chinese hamster)
Lineage: Eukaryota; Metazoa; Chordata; Mammalia; Rodentia; Cricetidae
Source: RNAcentral